This 554-nucleotide ribosomal RNA is filed under the name uncultured Bacteroides sp. RNAcentral's name for it is "bacterial SSU rRNA". It matches the Rfam family "Bacterial small subunit ribosomal RNA", at positions 8 to 551 of the family's 1533-position model. Lineage: Bacteria; Pseudomonadati; Bacteroidota; Bacteroidia; Bacteroidales; Bacteroidaceae. The record is from RNAcentral.
AGAGUUUGAUCCUGGCUCAGGAUGAACGCUAGCUACAGGCUUAACACAUGCAAGUCGAGGGGCAGCAUGGUCUUAGCUUGCUAAGGCCGAUGGCGACCGGCGCACGGGUGAGUAACACGUAUCCAACCUGCCGUCUACUCUUGGACAGCCUUCUGAAAGGAAGAUUAAUACAAGAUGGCAUCAUGAGUCCACAUGUUCACAUGAUUAAAGGUAUUCCGGUAGACGAUGGGGAUGCGUUCCAUUAGAUAGUAGGCGGGGUAACGGCCCACCUAGUCUUCGAUGGAUAGGGGUUCUGAGAGGAAGGUCCCCCACAUUGGAACUGAGACACGGUCCAAACUCCUACGGGAGGCAGCAGUGAGGAAUAUUGGUCAAUGGGCGAGAGCCUGAACCAGCCAAGUAGCGUGAAGGAUGACUGCCCUAUGGGUUGUAAACUUCUUUUAUAAAGGAAUAAAGUCGGGUAUGCAUACCCGUUUGCAUGUACUUUAUGAAUAAGGAUCGGCUAACUCCGUGCCAGCAGCCGCGGUAAUACGGAGGAUCCGAGCGUUAUCCGGAUU